CAGAAACUUGUCUGCAUUAACAUUCAAUGGGCAUAGAAAGACAUCUAUGAGGGCUGGAAGGACAGGAAAAGAAUGUGGCAGCAGGAGUACCGUGAAGCUCAGGGCGACACACACAAGUUGUUCUAUAGAUACAGAGGGAACUCAGGGUCUUAAGUCUUACGUCGUCUUAAAACACUUGGUUCCCUAGAGGAGGAGAACGGCCUUGGCCAUAGGACGGGAGCUGCUCUUCCACACAAGAGCUUGCAGAGGGGGUACCCCCUUUUCUCGCACAUUCCCUCUGAUCUCACCUGUCAGAUCCUGUAAGCCUUGAGGUUUUUUGAUUUUUUUGUUUUGUUUUGUUUUGGUCCCACCCCAAAUCAGCCAGUUUCUCAGGUCCUACGAAGGAAUUUACUUCAUCUGGGAAAGCAGGUCCUGGAAAGAAUCUGGGAAGGCUUCCCAGAGGAGGCAGCUCAAAGGUGGGGAGGAAGGGAUCCUAUGUGCUCUGGGCUAGAAGAAGAGGGAAGCCGGCAGCAGCAGCAUCCAUGAUAAAGCAGCAACUAUUCACAGAGCACUGCUGCCAGGAGGCCCAAGCAAACUGAGAUGGCAGCCACCAAGCCACCUGUCCUAUGGCCCAGCUCUUAAGCCCUAGGCCCACGGCUUCCACAAGACAGAGCACCCAGAACCAGCCAAGGCUCAGAUCAUCUGUUCUGGAAAGAUUUGGCUGCCCAGAGAGAAGUACUGAGGGGCCCAUCUCAGCCUCCCUCCACGGGCAUAGGACCUCAGCUCAGAAGCCCUCAAGCUCCAUAAGGGGCAUAGAACAGAGGGAGUUCGUGUACAACCCUCACAGAGCCAUGAACAACGAAGAAACGAAGAAACGGUCCUCGUCCUCGCUCCAGCUGAGCCCUAAGUGGGUGAGCCAGGCUGGGUGGUAGUGUCUCUGCCUCACACACGCACAACCUGGGUUCCAUCCUUGGCACAGCAAGAAAGAGAAAGGAAAACAUGACCUGAGUGUGUGAGUUGGAUGGAUGAGGGUAGGUAGGCUGGAGGGGGUGGGGCUGUAGCUGUCCUGGGGAGCACCUUGGGGAGCCGCCCACUUCUGGGAGAAGGUAAGGCUUGAAGGCUGGGAGGAGGAACUCCAUCAAACCAGUCUGACUUCAGCACUUACACUGGGAGGGGCCAGCAACUUGUGGACCCAUCUUAUCCAGGUGAAGUCACAGGAAAGUAAAUGUGCUAACGUUACCACAGGCUCCCCAGUUUCCAAAGCUGCCUAUUCUACUCUCCAUGGCCUGAUCCUUGAUUCCCUGGGCUCCAUCUUCCUUAACACCUGUGUCAGUUUGAAAGAGAAUGGCGCCUCCAGGUUCAUAGUUUUGAAUACCAGAUUCCCAUUUGGUGAAUUGUUUGGGAAGGAUGAGGGAGGUGUGGCCUUGCUGGAGGAGG
RNAcentral lists this long non-coding RNA (1416 nucleotides) under Mus spicilegus (steppe mouse). RNAcentral describes it as "lncRNA (ENSMSIG00000005414.1)". The record is from RNAcentral. Lineage: Eukaryota; Metazoa; Chordata; Mammalia; Rodentia; Muridae.